Molecule: transfer RNA, 69 nt
Filed under: Paragnetina indentata
Lineage: Eukaryota; Metazoa; Arthropoda; Insecta; Plecoptera; Perlidae
Description: tRNA-Asp
Source: RNAcentral
AAAGAAUUAGUUAAAGUAUAACCUUAGUAUGUCAAACUAACAUAACUAGUAUAAAUCUAGUAUUCUUUA